UGGUGUAAAAGACCACCGGCAUCUGCAGUAAUGUGGAUGGCCAGGUAACCCCCGCCGGGAGCAAGACCAAGUAGGGACGAAGCCAUCCGCGGAUGGCGGGAGACUGCUCGUCUUCAUACGUGCUCUCUCAUGAGAUGAGAAAGCCAGUCCCGGGUAGGUCGCAUCGAGCGGUGCGGCGACGUGCCGCCCAGAGAGAUGAUCGCACAGUGGCGUUCGCGCCACGGACAGAAUGCGGCUUAUAGACCGUCCUGAGGG
Molecule: RNase P RNA, 255 nt
Filed under: Anaerolineales bacterium
Lineage: Bacteria; Bacillati; Chloroflexota; Anaerolineae; Anaerolineales
Description: partial RNase P RNA component class A
Rfam family: Bacterial RNase P class A
About the family: Ribonuclease P (RNase P) is a ubiquitous endoribonuclease, found in archaea, bacteria and eukarya as well as chloroplasts and mitochondria.
Source: RNAcentral